Molecule: transfer RNA, 87 nt
Filed under: Flavobacteriia bacterium
Lineage: Bacteria; Pseudomonadati; Bacteroidota; Flavobacteriia
Also listed under: 1 other name
Description: tRNA-Leu
Rfam family: tRNA
About the family: Transfer RNA (tRNA) molecules are approximately 80 nucleotides in length. Their secondary structure includes four short double-helical elements and three loops (D, anti-codon, and T loops).
Source: RNAcentral
GCCCACGUGGUGAAAUUGGUAGACACGCCAUCUUGAGGGGGUGGUGUUCGUAAGGACGUGCUGGUUCGAAUCCAGUCGUGGGCACCA